UACCUGUAUGUGAUCUUGAGCUCCUCAGAGGACUGGUGGGAUAUAAUGUAGUAAUAAUCAUUCUAUUAUUAUUUAAUGCUGCAAUCUGCAGAACUGCCUUUGCUGAUUUCUCCACCCAACAUCUCUUAUAUCCCACAACUACUCUAUCUGCAUUUUUGGAUGCAGUUUGGGAAGCUUUCUGUGUCAUUCGGCAAACUAUCCCUAUUACAAAACUCUCACCAUUUACAGGGGCUUGGAGAGGAAUUAUGGAGGAGAAAAAAGGAUGCCCAUGUAUUCUCUCCUUCCUCUCUUGGAGGCAAUAUGCUGGGAAUCACAAGCAGGGAGACUUGCUGUUGCACCCAUGCCCUGCUUUGGGGCUGCCCAUUGUGUCAUCUGUUUGGCCAUUGUGAGAAGAGGGUGUUGGACAAGAUAGCCUGAUCCUUUGGCCUGAUGCAGCAGCCAGGCUGCUCUUACCUUCUCAAGGCAAUGGGAUUUGAUUUUGAGGGGGAAAUGCGGCUUUAAUGCCCCUGGCAGCGCAAUCGUAUUUUUAUAUUUUGUACCUUAUAUUUGUAAACUUAGAGACUACCGUAGUUAAGCAGUAUACUAAAUUGCUUAAAUCAAUACAUAAAACCAGAAGUAAGUCUCAUUCAAUCUGUAUGGGGUUUACUUCCUCCUAGGGAAACGUGCUAGGAUCGCAGCCACCUUGGUGACGAAGGAAUCGGAAGGCGAUAUAUUUUAUAACAAAUGCAAGUGAUAUAAUAUAAAAGAACAAUAUAUAUAUAUAUAUAUAUAUUUAAGGAAGACGGUGGAUGAUGGUGGGCAGAGUGAGGCGAGGCAACUUUCCUCCGCCAAAGUUGGAGCCGAGGCGAAAGCGUGACCUCACAAAAGCAGCCUAGGGAAUAAGGCUGCGGCGGCGGCAGGCCCCUUUGGCGGGCCGGGACGGGCCCCGUCCAGGCGCCGCGCGGCGGGCGAUGGGCUGUGUGGAAUCCAAUGAAGUGCUUUCCUCCGAAGCGAUAGACACAAGCUCAGUAGCAGCACCACCCGCGCCCCAAACGACUGCUCCAGACUCUGAAAAAGUGAAAAAAAAGAGAAGACAUAGCUUAAGGGAAAGGUGGGCAACUGGGAAGAAGACAUCUACCGAAGAUCUGGGCCAUCGGACUGAAAGCACAAAGAUCCACGUGAUCUGGAGACGUGUUUCUCUCUUCAGCACAAAGCGAGAUUCCUUGAAGAGCAUGAACGGAGAAGUGGCUGGGCCCAGUCAUCUGAACAGCGAUCAAGAACCUCAACCCAAUACCUCUGAGAAAUUUGGGGAAACUCACUGAGGAGAGAGAGAGAAUGUGGACAGAGAAUACAGAGCAGGCUAUGGCAGCAUUGCUGCAAAAUACAGGCAGUCUUACAGCUAAGGGGAAUAAACUUUAACUAUCA
Molecule: long non-coding RNA, 1404 nt
Organism: Podarcis muralis (Common wall lizard)
Lineage: Eukaryota; Metazoa; Chordata; Lepidosauria; Squamata; Lacertidae
Source: RefSeq, a predicted model, not a curated record